AGAUUGAACGCUGGCGGCAGGCCUAACACAUGCAAGUCGAGCGGUAGAGAGGUGCUUGCAUCUCUUGAGAGCGGCGGACGGGUGAGUAAUGCCUAGGAAUCUGCCUAGUGGGUGGGGGAUAACGUUCGGAAACGGACGCUAAUACCGCAUACGUCCUACGGGAGAAAGCGGGGGACCUUCGGGCCUCGCGCCAUUAGAUGAGCCUAGGUCGGAUUAGCUAGUUGGUGAGGUAAUGGCUCACCAAGGCGACGAUCCGUAACUGGUCUGAGAGGAUGAUCAGUCACACUGGGAACUG
Molecule: ribosomal RNA, 295 nt
Filed under: uncultured soil bacterium
Lineage: Bacteria
Description: partial 16S ribosomal RNA
Rfam family: Bacterial small subunit ribosomal RNA
Source: RNAcentral